Molecule: ribosomal RNA, 608 nt
Filed under: Leptographium cucullatum
Lineage: Eukaryota; Fungi; Ascomycota; Sordariomycetes; Ophiostomatales; Ophiostomataceae
Description: eukaryotic LSU rRNA
Rfam family: Eukaryotic large subunit ribosomal RNA
Source: RNAcentral
UUGACCUCGGAUCAGGUAGGAUUACCCGCUGAACUUAAGCAUAUCAAUAAGCGGAGGAAAAGAAACCAACAGGGAUUGCCUCAGUAACGGCGAGUGAAGCGGCAACAGCUCAGAUUUGGAAUCUGGUCCUUUGGGGCCCGAGUUGUAAUCUGGAGAGGAUGCUUCUGGCGCGGCGCCGUCCGAGUUCCCUGGAACGGGACGCCGGAGAGGGUGAGAGCCCCGUACGGUCGGACGCCUAGCCUGUGUGAAGCUCCUUCGACGAGUCGAGUAGUUUGGGAAUGCUGCUCAAAAUGGGAGGUAAAUUUCUUCUAAAGCUAAAUACCGGCCAGAGACCGAUAGCGCACAAGUAGAGUGAUCGAAAGAUGAAAAGCACUUUGAAAAGAGGGUCAAACAGUACGUGAAAUUGUUGAAAGGGAAGCGCCCGUGGCCAGACUUGUGCCCGGCAGACCAUCCGGCGCCCCCGCGCCGGUGCACUCUGCCGGGCGCAGGCCAGCAUCGGUUUUCCUAGGGGGAUAAAGGCGGCGGGAACGUGGCUCCCUCGGGAGCGUUAUAGCCCGCCGUGUCAUGCCUCUGGGGGGACCGAGGACCGCGCAUUUAUGCAAGGAUGC